This 253-nucleotide ribosomal RNA is filed under the name uncultured bacterium. RNAcentral describes it as "partial 16S ribosomal RNA". It matches the Rfam family "Bacterial small subunit ribosomal RNA", at positions 524 to 776 of the family's 1533-position model. The record is from RNAcentral.
UACGUAGGGUGCGAGCGUUGUCCGGAAUUAUUGGGCGUAAAGAGCUCGUAGGCGGUUUGUUGCGUCGGCCGUGAAAACCUGCAGCUUAACUGUGGGCCUGCGGCCGAUACGGGCAGACUUGAGUUCGGUAGGGGAGACUGGAAUUCCUGGUGUAGCGGUGAAAUGCGCAGAUGUCAGGAGGAACACCGGUGGCGAAGGCGGGUCUCUGGGCCGAUACUGACGCUGAGGAGCGAAAGCGUGGGGAGCGAACAGG